UACGGGGGGGGCAAGCGUUGUUCGGAAUUACUGGGCGUAAAGGGCUCGUAGGCGGCCAACUAAGUCGGACGUGAAAUCCCUCAGCUUAACUGGGGAACUGCAUCCGAUACUGGAUGGCUUGAAUCCGGGAGAGGGAUGCAGAAUUCCAGGUGUAGCGGUGAAAUGCGUAGAUAUCUGGAGGAAUACCGGUGGCGAAGGCGGCAUCCUGGACCGGCAUUGACGCUGAUGAGCGAAAGCUAGGGGAGCAAACGGG
RNAcentral lists this ribosomal RNA (253 nucleotides) under uncultured bacterium. RNAcentral describes it as "partial 16S ribosomal RNA". It matches the Rfam family "Bacterial small subunit ribosomal RNA", at positions 524 to 776 of the family's 1533-position model. The record is from RNAcentral.